This 468-nucleotide ribosomal RNA is filed under the name uncultured bacterium. RNAcentral describes it as "partial 16S ribosomal RNA". It matches the Rfam family "Bacterial small subunit ribosomal RNA", at positions 28 to 507 of the family's 1533-position model. The record is from RNAcentral.
GACGAACGCUGGCGGCGUGCUUAACACAUGCAAGUCGAACGGAAAGGCCCUGCUUUUGUGGGGUGCUCGAGUGGCGAACGGGUGAGUAACACGUGAGUAACCUGCCCUUGACUUUGGGAUAACUUCAGGAAACUGGGGCUAAUACCGGAUAGGAGCUCCUGCUGCAUGGUGGGGGUUGGAAAGUUUCGGCGGUUGGGGAUGGACUCGCGGCUUAUCAGCUUGUUGGUGGGGUAGUGGCUUACCAAGGCUUUGACGGGUAGCCGGCCUGAGAGGGUGACCGGCCACAUUGGGACUGAGAUACGGCGCAGACUCCUACGGGAGGCAGCAGGGGGGAAUAUUGCACAAUGGGCGGAAGCCUGAUGCAGCAACGCCGCGUGCGGGAUGACGGCCUUCGGGUUGUAAACUGCUUUCGCCUGUGACGAAGCGUGAGUGACGGUAAUGGGUAAAGAAGCACCGGCUAACUACGUG